Molecule: ribosomal RNA, 1444 nt
Filed under: metagenome
Description: bacterial SSU rRNA
Rfam family: Archaeal small subunit ribosomal RNA
Source: RNAcentral
CCGGUUGAUCCUGCCAGCGGCCACCGCUAUUGGAGUUCGAUUAAGACAUGCGAGUUGAGAGGGUUCAGACCCUCAGCGUAAUGCUCAGUAACACGCGGACAAUCUGCCCUAUGGUGGGGGAUAAUCUCGAGAAAUUGAGGCUAAUACCCCAUAGUCCUGGUAUGCUGGAAUGCUUCCAGGUCAAAAGGUUACGCCAUAGGAUGAGUCUGCGGCCUAUCAGGUAGUAGUGGGUGUAAUGUACCUACUAGCCUUUGACGGGUACGGGCUUUGGGAGAAGUAGCCCGGAGAUGGAUUCUGAGACACGAAUCCAGGCCCUACGGGGCGCAGCAGUUACGAAAACUUGGCAAUGUGGGAAACCACGACCAGGGAACUCCAAGUGCAUGCACAUUGUGUAUGCUGUUCCAUUGCCUUAAAAGCAUAGGAAGUAAGGGCUGGGUAAGACGGGUGCCAGCCGCCGCGGUAAUACCCGCAGCCCGAGUGGUGGUCACUAUUAUUGAGCCUAAAGCGUCCGUAGCCUGGUGGAUAAAUCCUUGGGAAAAUCGAGCGGCUUAACCGUUCGAAGUCCGGGGAGACUGUCCGUCUUGAAACCGGGAGAGGUCAGAGGUACUUUGGGGGUAGGGGUAAUAUCCUGUAAUCCUCAAAGGACCACCAGUGGCGAUGCGUCUGACUUGAACGGAUUUGACGGUGAGGGACGAAGCCCAGGGGCGCAAACGGGAUUAGAUACCCCGGUAGUCCUGGGUGUAAACGCUGCUGGCUUGGUGUCGGAGAUCCUACGUGGGUGUUCGGUGCCGGAGAGAAGUUGUUAAGCCAGCCGCUUGGGGAGUACGGUCGCAAGACUGAAACUUAAAGGAAUUGGCGGGAGAGCACAGCAACGGGAGGAGCGUGCGGUUCAAUUGGAUUCAACGCCGGAAAACUCACCGGGGGCGACUGGUACAUGUGGGCCAAGCCGAUGACUUUGCCUGAAUUCCAGAGAGGUGGUGCAUGGCCGUCGUCAGUUCGUACCGUAAGGCGUUUUGUUAAGUCAAAUAACGAACGAGACCCUCAUCCCUAGUUGCUACUCGUAUCUCCGGAUACGAAGCAGGCUUAGGCCUUUACUCUAGGGAGACCGCUGCUGCUAAAGCAGAGGAAGGGGAGGUCAACGGUAGGUCAGUAUGCCCCGAAUCUCCCGGGCAACACGCGCGCUACAAAGGAUGGGACAAUGGGUUCCGACACCGGGAGGUGAAGGCAAUCCCGAAACCCAUUCGUAGUCUGAAUUGAGGGCUGUAACUCGCCCUCAUGAAACUGGAUUCCGUAGCAAUCGCGGAUCAACAUCCCGCGGUGAAUAUGCCCCUGCUCUUUGCACACACCGCCCGUCAAGCCACCCGAGUUGGGCUUGAGUGAGGGUGCCUUAAUUUGGGGCACUCGAACUUAGGUUCAGCAAGGAGGGUUAAGUCGUAACAAGGUA